GCCGUUUAGCUCAGUGGAUAGAGCAUUGACCUGUGGAGUCAAGGGUCCCAGGUUCAAUUCUGGUCAAGGGCA
This 72-nucleotide transfer RNA is filed under the name Myotis davidii. It matches the Rfam family "tRNA". Rfam says of the family: Transfer RNA (tRNA) molecules are approximately 80 nucleotides in length. Lineage: Eukaryota; Metazoa; Chordata; Mammalia; Chiroptera; Vespertilionidae. The record is from Rfam by way of RNAcentral.